Molecule: long non-coding RNA, 392 nt
Filed under: Jatropha curcas
Lineage: Eukaryota; Viridiplantae; Streptophyta; Magnoliopsida; Malpighiales; Euphorbiaceae
Description: long non-coding RNA (JCUR_LNC002944)
Source: RNAcentral
AAUGUCCGAAGACUUAUAUGUAUACAUCCGUCAGUAAACUCCGCAGUUAUAGAACUUGUAUACUUUUAAGUUGUGUAUUAUUGUAGAUGGAAUAAUUCUGUGAGCCUGUAUUAUAACUAUAGUGUAUUGUAAGCAGGGAAAUUUGUAUGUUUAAAAUUUUAUUGAGAUAGCAAAUUUGUAGUGUUCAGGCUUACUACGGGCCUCGGGGGCCUUAAGCUUACCUGGGCCCUAGUGCCGGUCCGGCCCAUGGAAAUGGGUCGUGACAAUUAAAUAGUUGAAAAAUGUAAAAAUUAUUAUUUUAAAAGUUAUAUUAACCACAUUUUAAAUCGAUAUUUGCCAUCUCAAAAAUAAAAAUCUUAAAAAUUAUUGUUGAUGUCGGGAAAACAUGUAUA